Non-coding RNA from Nicotiana tabacum (common tobacco), 523 nucleotides. NCBI's taxonomy places the organism in Eukaryota, Viridiplantae, Streptophyta, Magnoliopsida, Solanales, Solanaceae. The record is from RefSeq and is a predicted model, not a curated record.
CGCAAGCUUCGAUAGAAAUUACAAAUAUAUAUCUAUAGUAUAUUCAAGAAAGAUGAUAAAUAAAAUAGUCGUUACUCAAAAUAACAGAAGGUACCAAUGUGUUAGUGGUAGAGGCACAUAGUGUUUGCCUUUCAGGGCGUGGGAUCGAACCUUGCUUGCUAUGUUAUUUAUUUGUUUUCGCUUGCUACAUCAGAUAGACAGCAUAGCCACAACAGAAAUGGAUGUGUCCCCUGAGGCAGUUCCUGAGAAGCCCAAUUUCCAUUCAGCGGUGGAAUUUCUAAUUAGCCCUCCAAUCCCAGCAGUUGUAGCUGAAUAUGCUCCAUUUGUAUUUAGCUUGUAAACUCUUUGGAGGAUUCCAUUUUACAUUUUUGAUAGCUUUAUUUUUUCUUUUGUGAGAAGAAGCACCCAAGUAUGAGAAUUCAGCUGCUUGCUGAGUUGUGUGUUUAACAUGAAUGUUAUCUCGAGUCAUGUUGUAACUAUUUUUGUUUCGUGUUAUCCAAAUAUUCUAUAAGCUUAUUGGUAA